RNAcentral lists this ribosomal RNA (253 nucleotides) under uncultured bacterium. Its description in RNAcentral is "partial 16S ribosomal RNA". It matches the Rfam family "Bacterial small subunit ribosomal RNA", at positions 524 to 776 of the family's 1533-position model. The record is from RNAcentral.
UACGAAGGGGGCUAGCGUUGCUCGGAAUCACUGGGCGUAAAGCGCACGUAGGCGGGUUGCUAAGUCAGGGGUGAAAUCCUGGAGCUCAACUCCAGAACUGCCUUUGAUACUGAGGAUCUUGAGUUCGGGAGAGGUGAGUGGAACUGCGAGUGUAGAGGUGAAAUUCGUAGAUAUUCGCAAGAACACCAGUGGCGAAGGCGGCUCACUGGCCCGAUACUGACGCUGAGGCACGAAAGCGUGGGGAGCAAACAGG